CUCCCAGAGUGCUAGGAUUACAGAAGUUUGUGCUAAUUGCACGUUAACCAUCCUACGUGUACGACUGCUGACAAGACCUACAGGACUCAAACAGUUUAUACUCAUGCUUGAUUACAGGCAAAGAUGCAAAAGUGGAAGAUGGAAACACACUGAAGGGCCCAGGAAAUGAAAAGAGAAGGCCAGGCCUGAGGAGGUCUCUGCAGAAGCCCGUGGAUGGAGCUAUGGGAGUGAGUGUGUGCAGGUCCAAGUAGCAC
Long non-coding RNA from Lemur catta (Ring-tailed lemur), 254 nucleotides. RefSeq lists it as uncharacterized. The transcript is spliced from 3 exons. The record is from RefSeq and is a predicted model, not a curated record. NCBI's taxonomy places the organism in Eukaryota, Metazoa, Chordata, Mammalia, Primates, Lemuridae.